UACGAAGGGGGCUAGCGUUGUUCGCAAUUACUGGGCGUAAAGCGCACGUAGGCGGAUCCUUAAGUCAGGGGUGAAAUCCCGAGGCUCAACCUCGGAACUGCCUUUGAUACUGGGGAUAUCGAGUCCGGGAGAGGUGAGUGGAACUGCGAGUGUAGAGGUGAAAUUCGUAGAUAUUCGCAAGAACACCAGUGGCGAAGGCGGCUCACUGGCCCGGUACUGACGCUGAGGUGCGAAAGCGUGGGGAGCAAACAGG
RNAcentral lists this ribosomal RNA (253 nucleotides) under uncultured bacterium. Its description in RNAcentral is "partial 16S ribosomal RNA". It matches the Rfam family "Bacterial small subunit ribosomal RNA", at positions 524 to 776 of the family's 1533-position model. The record is from RNAcentral.